RNAcentral lists this long non-coding RNA (5182 nucleotides) under Cicer arietinum (chickpea). Its description in RNAcentral is "long non-coding RNA (CARI_LNC001278)". The record is from RNAcentral. Lineage: Eukaryota; Viridiplantae; Streptophyta; Magnoliopsida; Fabales; Fabaceae.
UACAUCAAAGAUUAUUACGAUGCAUCACACAAUAACAUGCAAAUGGGUUUAGCAAAACAAGCAUCAGCUUAUCAAACUUUCAUACAUCAAAGAUUAUUCAUAAACAGAAGAUCUUUGAAUAAAACAACAAAGAAUGAGAAAAAUACCAUCAUUUUCGUCUGUUGUUGUUAGAACUGGCUUGAAGGCUAGGGUUGAUGGGAAGCAAACUGACGGUAGAUCUUCCUUUCUUCUUUGCGGUAACACUCUCUCUUUCUAUUUCUUUUUUAGAAACCGAAAGCAAAGAAAUGAAACUCUCCCAAUUUAUAUCUUGUGAUUGUUUUUUUUUUUUUUUUCUUCCCAAUAUAUAGACUAAAACGAGGAAGGGAUGUGUUCAUCGUAUAAAUUAAUUCUUGGUUUUUAGGCUGCUUUGGUAACUAUAUCAAGCAAGCAAACUGAUACAAAUAAGGGGAAGGGUUGUGUUCAUCAUAUAAAUUAAGUUGUGGAUUUUACCCGGUUUGGCAACCAGAUCAAGCAAAUACAAUUAAGGAAACUAGGGGCUAGUCUUUUUUAAUUGAGUAUUCAACAUGAUAAAAUUAAUACCAUUAUUAGAUUGAAAAAAUAAUAAAAUUAAAAUAAAAUGAACAAAUAGAUAGAGUACAGAGAAAGAUGGAGUGCAGUGAAAGCAUGUGAGGAAGCAGGAAACAUGGUUCUGCACACGGCACACCUCAACACGCGCAACAAAGAAUCGAAAGGCAGAUGGGACCUUUUUUUUUAUUUGUUUUAUUUUGAUGUAUUUUUAAUUUUUACAAUUGUUAGAUAAAUAUACUUUUUAUUUGAAUUGUGGACAAAAUUGAGGUAUUACAAUGUCAUAACAAGUAUAUAAAAAUAAACGAAAUCAAACAUAAUAUCAAUUCUAUCUCAAGAUAAUUAUUUAUAAAAAAAAUAACUAAAAAUAAAAAAUAGUUAUAAAUAAUUGAAAUAUAAUGCAUAUUUAACAUCAGUCGAACGUACAUAAAAGUAUUACAUUAAUUGGGUACACGUAUAUACACGUAAAAUCGCAUAAAGUCUUUUUCUCUAAAAUAUAUAUUACACUAAAAUACUAUUAUCUUUUUAAAAAGUAUAUCAAAUAAUAAAAUAUAAUAUUUAUUAUUUUUAUCGCUCAUGUAAUCUAGUAUUUAUAAAAUUAGCACAUCAUAAAAAUCACCUAUAUAACGAAAAUUAGUCAGAAAAUUUAUCAUCAUAUAUUCUAAAAUAAUUUUAACAUUAAAUUAAUUAUUUAAAAUCGUACUUAACUAAUAAAAUAGUUUAUUAUUAAAUUUAGGGGGUUACAUUUGAAGGCAAAAUAAAUUUAAAUUUUAAAUUUAAUUCAAAAUAAUUAAAUAUAAAAAAAUGACAUUAAAUGAUUGAAUGUUGGAUAUUAUAUUCGAUAAAACUCUAGGGACUCUAUAAAAAGAGUUUUUAGAAAGACUUACACAUAUUAGAGUAUGAAAUAAGUCUGAAAUAUUUAUAAUAUAGUUAAAUAGAUUUAUUUUGAAAUAAAAAAAAAAGUCAAAUUUCACACAUUAAAAGACAAUUUAUUUUAAGAAUAUCCACAUAUAAAAUGCACACUUUAAAUUCAGUACUACUUUGUUUAAUAUAUGUAAACAAAACAAAUAAUAUUUAUAAAGAAAGGCAAAGUGUUUUAACUCGAAUUAUUAAUCUCUUUAUAAUAUUAUUGUUAUUUACUAUAUCUCAUCUCUAGUAAUUACUCCACUAACUAUUUUUAAUAAGAGUAUUUUAUUAAAUAAAAUUUAUUUUAUUAUUAAAAUAAAAUAAACAAUUCAUUUAUUAAAAAUUAUGCAGAAACACAUAAAAAAAUAGACGGAAUAAGUAAAUAAACUUUUAUUAUUAAACAUUAUAAAAACAUUCCACUGCCUUAACUAUCAUAAUUUUAUCCAGAAUUGAUAAUUUUAUCCAGAAUUGUGAGAAUGAGAAGGUGCAGAACUCGAAGUUCCAAUACCAUAACUAGAAGGAGAAGGUGCAGGACUCGAAGUUCCAAAAUUUAAAUUUGCACGAGGCGGAGGUGGUUUAUAAUUGUGUCUUUUACUACCUUGUGAUGGCGCAACAGGACCUUUUGGUAAUACUCCAAAAUAAAAAUUUGCACGAGGUGGAGGUGGUUUAUAAUUGUGUCUUUUACUACCUUGUGAUGGCGAAACAGGACCUUUUGGUAAUACUCCAAAAUAAAAAUUAUGGUGAGCAGGUGAUAGAGGUCCUGACGGCGGAAUGCGCAUACCUUUUGGCAAUAUUUUAAAGGGAUGAUCGCCCAUAACAAGAGAAAAAAACAAGAAACACAAAGUACCAAAAAAAUAAGCCAUUGAAAUAUUCAUCUCUCCAAUUUUGAAAUUAGGUGUGGUAAAACAAGGUAUAAAUAAGCUUUAUGUUUAUCAUUAGAAGAAAGAUUUUCAUGUGCUUAUUAUUUUUUUGACUGACUUUUAUUGAGUAUUUCUUUAACUGACAUUACUUUUCUAUAAAGAUUUAAAGGGCAAAAAGUGUUAAAUAAUUAAUUUGGUAUUAAAAUUAUUUUAAAAUAUAUGUUGACUAGUUUUAUGAUUAAUUUUCUUUAGAGGUGUGUUUCUAUGAUGUAUUAAUCUUGUAUAUAUUUGAUCAAAUAUGUUAUAUGAAUAAUAAUGUUAUAUUUUAUUAUUUUAUAUAUUUUUUUUUAAAAUAAUAGUAUGUUAGUAUAAAUAUUUUGAAGAAUAAGAUUUAAGCCAUUUUAUGUAAAUAUGUGAGUUUGUAAUUAAUAUGAUUUUAUUGUGUGUUUGACUAAUAUUAAAUGUGCACUUAAUUAUAUUUAAUUAUUUUUAAAUAUAUCUUAUUUUAAAUAUUUUUUUUUUAUAAAUAAUUAUCUUGAGUUAGUAGUAACAUUGUGAUUGAUUUUCUUUAUUUUUAUAUACUUAUUUUGGAAUUGUAAUUUUAUAUAUAUAUAUAUAUAUAUAUUGAUUAUGAUUUAGUAAUUAACAUAAAAUAUUGUUGUUAUAUUUAUUUAUUUUAUAAUUUUGACUAUUCUCUAACGAUAGUAUUAUUAUAACGUGAGUAUUUUGAAAAAUAAGUAUAAUUAUAGUGAUUAAUUUGAAUAUGAGAGUUUGAGUUGUUAAUAACAAUUAUUUUUUUAAAAGGUUAAUUAUUUUAAUUACUCUAAUUUAUCAUUUAUUAGUUAUCAAAUGUUAGUAAUGUUUUGAAAAUUAAUUGCUAUUUGGAAGAGUAUUAAGAAUGAGAUUAAGUAACAAUUAAUUUUAUUUUAACAAAAUAAAAAUAAUAAUAGUAAAAUAUAAAAUAAAUAAGGGGACUAAUGGACUUGACUCAUGUAUGUUAACCAUAAUUAUAUUAGUAAAAUAAAAAUAUAAUAAUAAGGAAGGGAAAUCUUUCCCAGCUGCCAGAAAAAAAAAAUAGGAGUGUUACACAACUUUCGCUUGACAUCGAUGAUUGUUAAUUGUUCUAGAAACUUUUCUUUGUUUUCUUUCAAUUUUUUUACGUUGUUUCACUCAUUUAGUUAAUCAAUUUUAACACAUUUUUUCAAAUUUUGUAUCAUCCAAAUUUCUUUCUAAAAUAUGCCACUUCUCUGUUUCUGGAAUUUAUUAUUUUGAUCGUUCUUCUUUAUCGUAAGUUUGAUUUGAGUGAAACCAGCGCCAAAACGAUCAUGUGAAAAGUGGUUAUAUUGUCCACUGAUUGAUUUUUUGAUUUAUGGUAAGUUUCCUUGACCUAAUUUCGAAAUUAAUUUUUAGAGUCAAAAUCUAUUUUGGAAGUUACCUAUAAAUUAUCGAGUUAGAUCGAUUGAAUGACAAAAAUUCAAGGAACAAAAGUUAUUUGCUCGUUUUAUCAUAUUCCGUCGAAAUAAGGUAAGAGAUGAGAGUUCGUUUGAAUUCAUGAGUAUAAUAUAUUAUGAGAUGAACGGUAAAACUGUAUUUUCCACCAAUUCAUUUGGGGUUUGCUAAUACGACAGUAGCCAUUUUAGGGAUAAAUUAAUUAGUGUGCAAAUAUGGAAAUUGUGAGACUAAAAUAUGGAAUAGAAAUAUUUAUAAGGUGUUGAUUGAUUUAAUUUUUAUUAAAUGUGUGCUAUUUGAUAUUGUUGUGAUAUUGAUUGUCAAAUGAAUUAUAUAUAUAUGUUUGAUUAGACGGUUUAUGUGAUGUGAUAAUAAAAUGUGAAUUUAUUUUGAUAAGUUUAUGUGAUUAUGAUGAUAUAUAAUUAAUAAUAAUGAUGUUAUAAAUUUGUGAUAAGUCUAUGUGAUGAUGCAUGAUUGAUGAUAAUGAUACUAUAACAUUGUGAUGGGUUUAUAUGAUGAGAUAUGAUUAAUGAUAGUGAUGUUGUGAAUUUGUGAUGAAAAUAUUGAAGUAUCCCCAUAGUUGGUGAAAUAAUUGUGAUUCCAAUUUGGUGUUUGAGAUGAAGUCUUAAUGGAGUAUCAUAGGCCAACGAGGAGAUAAAAUAAAUAUUGAGAAUCUUUGAAGUAGAGAUUAUUUUGUCAUCAUAUAGGUAGAGUCUGACAAGCCUAGUGAUUCCGGGGAAGUACAAUUGAAUGAGUCUAAUCGUGUCGGUUUGUUGUUGAGCCUUAAGGCAAAAUUGUUAUGCCUUGGAGGUAUUCAGGUGGGGAAUUUCUAGGUGACUUGGAGUUAGCACUCCAAAUAUCGAGAGCUACCAUGCAACACACAUUUACCUCGAUUGUCGCAUAUAUGUGUCUCGAUUUGAGUUGAGGUGAUUUAUGAGGACAUGACCAAUUUGAAUUCUCCGCCCACCGAGAUGGUGGCAUAGUAUCAAGCCUCCUAACCAAGUACUUCAGAGUUAGAAUGGUAGCACAUUGUGAAGUAGAGUCUAAGCUCAUGCAUAUCACUGCACUUUCUUGUGAUUGUUUUGUUGUUAUUGAUGUAUUUCAAAAGUAAUAAUAGUUUCUCUUAGAUGAUUUGAUGCAUGUUAGAAUGAGAUAAUUAUUUCGAAACUCACCUCCUUCGUUGUUUGUGUUUGACUGGCUUGGUCAUGCGUUUGCAAAAUCGUAGUUGUUACAGGUUAAUGAGCAUUGAACUUCAAGUUUGAGAGGAACACCGCUCUGAUAUGUGAUACAGGGAAUAAAUGUUGUAAUUUGUAUUUCACUUAUUUAAUUUGAAACGACAUUUUGUAUGAAAACCUCAUAAGUACUAGUAAGUUUUUAGAAUUAAAUCAAAUAAUUAACUUAAA